AUCCUCCAGAAUGCUUAUAAGCUUCCUAUUUAGGAAAAGGAUGGAUAAACUUAGAGUUAUGAUGGAUUCAAAGGUAGGGAAAAUGAAGAAAAAGAGAAGAAGAAGGAGUUGUGUUUUGGUGAACUAACUUGAAAGAGAAAUGGGCUGAACCUUUUCAAGGUAAGUUUUACUAAAAUUUUAUUUUUGCUAUUAAAAUUGGCCCAAUGACUAGCUGCCACGUGUGCACCACUUAAGUGUUAUUUUCUCAUACCUUACAUUCUCCCCAACAACAAAAUUUUCGUCCUCGAAAAUUAAGACUUACAAAUAAAAGGAACAAUCUAUCUUCAUCAUAGUCUCUAGAAGCACCACCUAUUUUGACAAAAUACUACUCCCCUCAACUUUUAAGUACCUUUCUUUCAUAUAACCAAUUCUAUUGUGUCUGCCACACUACUAACCACUUAUCAAUCUUUCGCUACUUCUUGUAAACCUCUCCUAAGACUUCCACCAAUCUUGACUUCAACUGAACCCUUGACUGAUACUCAUUUACCUCCUCUUUCUGCUUCUAUGAAUCACCGUACCUCUAACUUGAUAACUGUUGACAAAUUGGCAAGUGUACCAAAUCGUACAAGUAAUAUAAAUGGUAAGACCAAGUAUCGUUUUCCCAAGAGACUCGUAUGGCUUUCUCGUUCGCGUGAACUAAAAUAAUAAGACUUGAAAAUAAAAAUUAAUAAGUUGGAUUUGAGGACAAAAAUAUUAACAUGCAAAAUAAAGUUGAUUCAAUUGACAAACGAAAACAAUGGAUGAAUGGAUGUUGUUAGGAGUUGACAAUUUCAUCUAAUCCUCUCUCUCUUACCUACUCCUCUUGAAUAUUAGUUUGAUUAAUUAAUUGUUAUGCGACUUUCUUAGCCUCCCCUUAACUCGAUCCCUCGGCGAAAAGAGCCUAAUAUUAAUUACUGGCUUGUUAUCCCUAGCCUCCCCUAGCAAUUAAUACCGCAUUAUAAANAGAAGUUAGCGCAAUUGAUCGUCCUACCCCUAUCCCUAGGUGGUAUUGCAAAAUCAAGAAGUUACUCACCAGUUCAUGUCAUUACUGUACGUCCCC
RNAcentral lists this long non-coding RNA (1078 nucleotides) under Vigna radiata. Its description in RNAcentral is "long non-coding RNA (VRAD_LNC001022)". The record is from RNAcentral. Lineage: Eukaryota; Viridiplantae; Streptophyta; Magnoliopsida; Fabales; Fabaceae.